UCAGCCUGAAGGCGCCCGAUCUCGUCUGAUCUCGGAAGCUAAGCAGGGUCGGCCUGGUUAGUAUCUUGGAUGGGAGACCACCUGGGAAUCCCGGG
RNAcentral lists this ribosomal RNA (95 nucleotides) under Bison bison bison. Lineage: Eukaryota; Metazoa; Chordata; Mammalia; Artiodactyla; Bovidae. The record is from RNAcentral.